RNAcentral lists this ribosomal RNA (550 nucleotides) under uncultured bacterium. Its description in RNAcentral is "bacterial SSU rRNA". It matches the Rfam family "Bacterial small subunit ribosomal RNA", at positions 355 to 896 of the family's 1533-position model. The record is from RNAcentral.
UAGGGAAUCUUCGGCAAUGGGGGCAACCCUGACCGAGCAACGCCGCGUGAGUGAAGAAGGUUUUCGGAUCGUAAAGCUCUGUUGUAAGAGAAGAACGAGUGUGAGAGUGGAAAGUUCACACUGUGACGGUAUCUUACCAGAAAGGGACGGCUAACUACGUGCCAGCAGCCGCGGUAAUACGUAGGUCCCGAGCGUUGUCCGGAUUUAUUGGGCGUAAAGCGAGCGCAGGCGGUUAGAUAAGUCUGAAGUUAAAGGCUGUGGCUUAACCAUAGUACGCUUUGGAAACUGUUUAACUUGAGUGCAAGAGGGGAGAGUGGAAUUCCAUGUGUAGCGGUGAAAUGCGUAGAUAUAUGGAGGAACACCGGUGGCGAAAGCGGCUCUCUGGCUUGUAACUGACGCUGAGGCUCGAAAGCGUGGGGAGCAAACAGGAUUGGAUACCCUGGUAGUCCACGCCGUAAACGAUGAGUGCUAGGUGUUAGACCCUUUCCGGGGUUUAGUGCCGUAGCUAACGCAUUAAGCACUCCGCCUGGGGAGUACGACCGCAAGGUUG